UAUGGUGUGUGCCAGCCGCCGCGGUAAUACGGAAGGUCCGGGCGUUAUCCGGAUUUAUUGGGUUUAAAGGGAGCGUAGGCGGGCUGGAAAGUCAGUUGUGAAAGUUCGGGGCUCAACCUCGGAAUUGCAGUUGAAACUGUCAGUCUUGAGUUCACGCAGGGGCGCUGGAAUUCAUGGUGUAGCGGUGAAAUGCUUAGAUAUCAUGAAGAACUCCGAUCGCGAAGGCAUGUGCCCGGAGUGCGACUGACGCUGAGGCUCGAAAGUGCGGGUAUCAAACAGG
This 280-nucleotide ribosomal RNA is filed under the name Alloprevotella rava. RNAcentral describes it as "partial 16S ribosomal RNA". It matches the Rfam family "Bacterial small subunit ribosomal RNA", at positions 497 to 776 of the family's 1533-position model. Lineage: Bacteria; Pseudomonadati; Bacteroidota; Bacteroidia; Bacteroidales; Prevotellaceae. The record is from RNAcentral.